AGGAGAUCCCGCUCAGUACAGUGUAUAUCCAGCAGAGCGAGAGGGCUACCACCCAGCCAACUGCAGCUCCAAAACUCAGAGCAUGAAUAAUCUAUUUAUGGAGGAGAAAAGCUCAGACGCUCUGCCCCCCAGCUUUGCUGAUGUGGCUGCAGGACUAGACCGAGCCUCAGACCCCAGCAGUGCGUACGUUCAGGAAGAGAUGUGGGCUCCUCCCUCAGUUCCUCUGACCAAUGGCUUUAGGUACAGCAUGCCCGACCCCCUCAACGUAGUGUCACAAAGCUCCGCCCCCAGCCCAUUCAGCGGAAGUUUCCCCUGGAAUAACUAAGCCAGUCAGUGCAGUAACCCAUACUCCUACUGCCCUCAGAACAGCUACGUUUUACCUGGUAACGGUAAUUACCAAAAUAGCUUCUCGUGCCAAGAACUCGCGGCCCACGGCCAGCAGUCCGGCUGGAGCGAGGACGCCGUUCAAGAAGUGGCCUCAUCCUGGGACAUGACCAGCUGUGUGGGCAGCAAGCCCUUUUUCUCAGGCACUCGCAGUCUCUCGCCCAUCUCCUCCAGUCUGUUCGGCUCUAUCUGGACACCCCAGAGCGAACCCUAUCAGAGCCACUUCCAGCCCGAGCGCUCGGCCCCCGUCUCGCCACACACACCUCAC
Molecule: long non-coding RNA, 652 nt
Filed under: Astyanax mexicanus (Mexican tetra)
Lineage: Eukaryota; Metazoa; Chordata; Actinopteri; Characiformes; Acestrorhamphidae
Description: lncRNA (ENSAMXG00005009706.1)
Source: RNAcentral